Molecule: long non-coding RNA, 1238 nt
Filed under: Chloebia gouldiae (Gouldian finch)
Lineage: Eukaryota; Metazoa; Chordata; Aves; Passeriformes; Passeridae
Description: Erythrura gouldiae (Gouldian finch) lncRNA (ENSEGOG00005006747.1)
Source: RNAcentral
CAAAUGCUUUGGCUGCUCCAGCAGCAUCACCUGAGGUGUUGCCUUCCUCUGGAUGCCAAGUGCUUGGUGUCACAGCAGGCCAUAUUGCCCAGGUGAGACAGUUAAACUGAAUAAAAGUUUACCAGGCAUAAUAUAGGAGGGCCUUUGUUUCAAAAUAUUGUCAUAGAGCAAACCCUUUAAGACCUUCAUUGGACAUUUGUGUUGGUUUUCGGAAUAGGCAGUACAUAAAUGUGGCUUUCUGCUAAAGGACAAGAUCCUGGGGCACAGGCUGGGGGUUAGUUGUGAUCCUGGGAAGGAAUUUGGAAGACACGGAACAAAAAUGAGCUUUUGCUGAAGAGAGGUGAUCCAGUCCCUGGCAUCCAGGGAAUGCCAGUAGGCAUCUGGCUUACCUGAGGGGUCCUGCUGCCUUCCAGGAAGGAGGGUAGCAGCUGCUUUUUUUAUCUGAUGGACUGAAUUUACUCUUGUUUAUUUGUUUGUUUGUUUGUUUGUUAUAGUGUUUUUUUCCCCCAUCCUUGAGCAAAGAAUGCCUUGUUAGAGCAGCCCUAGCAUUCACUAGGCUCGAAAGAAGGAAGGUGGAUCAAACCUGUCCUCGCGCAGUACAGGGGAAGAGUGAACACGGGUGCUGCCUCCCGUUUGAGUUGCAUGAGGAGAGUCUGUCUGAAGCAGGACUUUGGUGUAGAUCUGGAUCAUAGAAAGUUGCACAGUGAGCCAGCAAAUGCAGCAGAGACGCCACUGCAUCAGCAGUUACUGGAACAAUUGAGAACCGUGCUGUUACUCUCUUUCAGAUUGAAUGGGCUCAGGAAAAUAAGAGCGUUGGUCUGCCAGCAGCCAGGACCCAGUAGCACGAUAAUCCAAGCAGAGCAUUUGCAGCCUAGUGCUAUUCUGGCCCUUGUGCCUUGGGAUUUGCCCAGGAACCAUCCUGGUAGGACACAGGACGAAUGAGUUUGUUCAUCAGAAGGGGGAAGAUUCUUCUCCACUCUGCAGGACCUGAGCUUGGGUACUCAGGUUUGUGGAUCCCAGGUCUCUCCUGAAAGGAAAACAGCCCUUAAUUGCAGAAAUGGAGGCUUUAUUCAGGGAACAUCACAUUCCCAUCCUGGCUGCCAUUGGUAUGUCAGGGUCCUUAGUUUAAUCCCUGAACCUCGCCACCAGGAGAUCAAAUUUACUUCUGAGUUUGCAGACCCACACUGGACUGUUGCAUACCUGGUCUUAUCUCUGGGAAGAAAUUGAAGGACCAAACC